Molecule: ribosomal RNA, 440 nt
Filed under: uncultured bacterium
Lineage: Bacteria
Description: partial 16S ribosomal RNA
Rfam family: Bacterial small subunit ribosomal RNA
Source: RNAcentral
CCUACGGGAGGCAGCAGUGGGGAAUAUUGGACAAUGGGGGAAACCCUGAUCCAGCGACGCCGCGUGAGUGAAGAAGUAUUUCGGUACGUAAAGCUCUAUCAGCAGGAAAGAAAAUGACGGUACCUGACUAAGAAGCCCCGGCUAACUACGUGCUAGCAGCCGCGGUAAUACGUAGGGGGCAAGCGUUAUCCGGAUUUACUGGGUGGAAAGUGAGCGGAGGCGGCAGUGCAAGUCUGGAGUGAAAUGCCAGGGGCGAACCCCGGAACUGCUCUGGAAACUGUGGAGCUGGAGUGCAGGAGAGGUCAGGGGAAUUCCUGGUGUAGCGGUGAAAGGCGUAGAUAUAAGGAAGAACACCGGCGGCGAAGGCGGCUUACUGGACUGUAACUGACGUUGAGGCUCGAAGGCGUGGGGAGCAAACAGGAGUAGAUACCCGUGUAGUC